Molecule: long non-coding RNA, 220 nt
Filed under: Panax ginseng (ginseng)
Lineage: Eukaryota; Viridiplantae; Streptophyta; Magnoliopsida; Apiales; Araliaceae
Description: long non-coding RNA (PGIN_LNC010848)
Source: RNAcentral
UAAACAUAACAAUCUCUAAUAACUAGUCCUACCGACUUUCACAUUUUCCUUUAUUAAAAACAUACGUUUUAACAUCAACAUUGUCUAUAUCAUCGUCAUAACACAAUAUGUCUAUUUCUAUGUAUCAUCUUACCAUGUGUUGUUAAUCAUAACUCAAUGCAUCAAUAGAACUGUAACAACUUAAACAGUUCAAUAACAUAACAGUUCAUUCACAAAAGCA